Long non-coding RNA from Erinaceus europaeus (western European hedgehog), 3170 nucleotides. RefSeq lists it as uncharacterized. The transcript has 3 exons. The record is from RefSeq and is a predicted model, not a curated record. NCBI's taxonomy places the organism in Eukaryota, Metazoa, Chordata, Mammalia, Eulipotyphla, Erinaceidae.
GAAGACAACAAGGUUUAGAAGACUGUAGGAGACUUACUCAAAGUCACUGUGACUCUUAUUUUUAUUAUUUAUUAUUAUAAGCUAAAGAGAAGUUAAUGUGAGAGAAAGAAGGAGAAGAGUGAGAGCCCUGCUGGCACAUGCAGCCCUGGGGCUGGAACCCAGAGCCUAAGUUGCUCACAUACAUGUGGACAUGCAGUUGCUGUGAAAUAGCAAGAGAAAUUAGAUUUUGUUUCAAAAUUUUUCAAAAACUAGAAGUCAAAUGUACCUAGUGGAACAUUAUCUCAAGCAAAUCUGGAGAAAACAGCAAAACUACAAAAGUAUAUUACUAAGUACAGAUGUGCUACCUAGAAUGUGGAAGCCUUAAAGAUGGCAGAAUGGAGAGAUGACAAGAGUCUCCACCCUUAUUGAUGCAAUCCCUCCUUAUUUCACUACUCUUUAUCAGCAAAAGACCUUUUUUUUUUUUUAACUGACAAUAAGUUUGUUUCUCAACUAGUUUGUAUGGACAAUAUAGUUCAUCAAAAGUCAAAUGCAAUGGGAAGUUGACACAUAGUUGAGAAACAUUUCAGAGUAUCAUUUUCUGAAUUUAUAAACUGCAUGGAUUUCAUUUAAAUAAGAACAGACCGUUGACUUCUUGACCAAGGAAUUGAUAAAAUGCCUUCCCAUAUUGCUACAAGUUGGUGCUAAGUUAUAAUAGGCAGAAUGGCUAAACCUGACAGGGAUGAAUAUCUCAAAAUCUUUUUUGACAUAUUGAGAGCAAACUCAGCACCUCAGUGAAUUUGACAACCCCCACCCCCAAAUAAAACAGAAUUAGUUCUAGGAUAUGUUUAAGGGCACCAGGCAAAGCAAAGACCUCAAAUCUUGGCCCUCUAGAAUUGAAGGUGAAUGUGAGUGAAGGAGAAGAAAGUUCCUAUCUAUUCUUGUGCUAAUUUUAGAGCUGCAGAGCCCUGGACACAGUGUAAAGCUAAAUUCCCCAAACACUGCGGGUAAGGAGGCCACCACAGCUGCUACGGAUCCAGCCAAACAUAUGGCAGGUGAAAGCAGACAAGAUCUCCUCCCAAACAUUUGUUUAUUAUUCUUCACAACCUUUGUUCUUAGAGAAGAAAAAUGAGAUUAGCUGGAGUUUUGGAUCCAUGUGCUGAUGUGCUUGCUUGUUUAUUUUAAAGACUCUAUUAGAGUUCUAAUGCUAAAAUGAAAGCACCCUCAUUGAAAAAACAAUUUCAACAACCCAAAGGUGGAUAAAGGGACAAGUGAAAAGCCAUGGUUCUCUCCUCCCUCCUCUUGGUUUUCUCUCUGCUUUGUGGCUUUCCUGCUCCACUUGUGCUGGGAUUGUGCCAGUGUUAAUCCCACUACCUGUCAUUUGGGGAUGUAGUCUUAAGCUUCUUUUCUGGUAUUUGGUGGGCUUGUAUUUUUGCUAGAAGACUUCAAAGAAGGAAGGUUCUGACCAGUGUCAGUACCCAGGCCAACUUUCAGUGGCUUCAUUUUAAAUUACUCGGGGGCCAUUUUGAUUCUGUUUCUUGGGACUCCCUAUGAAGCAGCUGAUCAUCAUCUCCCUUUUUGAAUUCUGAAAAGUUCACUCAGUUUCUGUAAUUUUGUUGUGAACUUCUCCUAUGAAAUCCUGGGCAAACACUACUAGUCCUCAAUAGCCUUUUUAGCCCUUCGGAGCAGUGAGCACACAGCUGGAAUGGCAUGAGGUGAUGCUGCAUGGAGAUAUGAGCUAUCAGACAAUUCUUGGAACUAGAAAGAGCAUGAUAUGUACUUGGUACAGCACAGACACUCUCAGGUCCAAAACCUAGUAUAACGUUUAUCUCUCCUCCACUUUCUGUGGCCAAAGAAGGCUAUGCUGUAUGCAGUCUUUGUUUUUAUUUUUAUUUUGGAUACAGAUAAAUUGAGAAGGAAUGGGAGAUAGAAAGGGAGAGAGAAAGAGAAAAAUCUGCAGCACAGUUUCACUGCUAGUGAAGCUUUCCCCCAGCAGGUGGGAACUAGGGGCUUGAACUAUGGUCGCAAGUGGGCUCUGCUAGAGAGCAACUAUGCAGAAUCCCUAUGCAGAAUCCCAACCCCUAUGCAGAAUCAAUAUGAACUGGUCAAACACUCUGGAGGUAGCAUUCUUUUUUGAGGCUAAUGAUUCCAUAGGGUGAAUUUUUUGUUGUUGUUUCUUUAAUGACAAUGUAGAACACUUUUUAAUCUGAGUUCAUAAAAAUCUACAGCUCGGAUAAGGGCAAGAGACUGGCAUACUUAAACGAUGACCUCUUUGGUCAUGAGCAGGCCACCGCAUCAUCUGGGGUCCUAGUCAGAGAAUCCUUGGAUUCCCACAAAGAUAUGAUUGGCCUAGACUUCUAAUAAACCUCUCUUUACCAUCACUGUCACUUCUAUCAGGAACAACAACAUAAGCCCUUCUGUGGACCUCGACAGGACCUUGCACUCAUUGUAGACCAGCAGUGGUAGGGACUGCCCUACCCUCUGAAGGGAGGCUGGGUCAAACUAAUAUGCCACUCAAAGAAGACUGGAGUGACUGCCACCUGGAAUGUUCCUAGCUGUGACCAUGGACUGUGAGCUCAGACUGAUAGGAAUGCAAAGAUUACACAGAUUCUUGUGCUAAAUAUGAAUAGAUAUGGGCCCUAGGUCAGAUCAAUAAGAUAAACAGCUAAUGAAUGGUACUUAUAUACUUUCUACAUUAUUUGGGAGCUACUAUCUUCCCUAAUCCAGUUUUCUAGGCCUGUUCUCAACUCUGACAACAUCUUCCCAGACUAUACUUUUAGCCCACCUUCAUGUUAGCUAUUGGGCUCAGGUAAAAAAUUACUAGUCAUGGACACCUUGAAAAUUACCUAAAAUAGAAUUCCUAGCUUUUUCCCACAUGAAGACCCCUAGCUUCAUCUGCUUUAUUUUUAUCUUUAGGUUCCUGUUUAUUAAACAAUUUGCUCUGCUUUAUAUAUUACUGUCUUUCAGCCACCAGGGUUACCAGGAUGCCAUCCUGACUUCCCUGGGCAGAUGACCUUACCAAUUUGUCCCAGAACCUCACCUCUCCAGAGCCCUACCCCACUAGGAAAAGAUAGACACAGGCUGGGAUUAUGAGUUGACCUGCCAAUGUCCAUGUUCAAGAAGCAAUUACAGAAGUUAGACCUCCCCUCUUCUACACCCCAAAAAGAAUUUUGGUCCAGACUCCCAAAGGGAUA